AACGAACGCUGGCGGCAUGCCUAACACAUGCAAGUCGAGGGGCAGCGAGAAAGUGCUUGCACUUUUGUCGGCGACCGGCGCACGGGUGAGUAACACGUAUGCAACCUGCCCUUGUCAGGGGGAUAAGCGGGGGAAACCCCGUCUAAUACCGCAUAUAUGAUUUGGAGGCAUCUUUAAAUCAGGAAAGAAUUAUCGGACAAGGAUGGGCAUGCGGGACAUUAGGUAGUUGGGGGUGUAACGGACCACCAAGCCGACGAUGUCUAGGGGUUCUGAGAGGAAGGUCCCCCACACUGGUACUGAGACACGGACCAG
This 312-nucleotide ribosomal RNA is filed under the name uncultured bacterium. Its description in RNAcentral is "bacterial SSU rRNA". It matches the Rfam family "Bacterial small subunit ribosomal RNA", at positions 29 to 334 of the family's 1533-position model. The record is from RNAcentral.